This 1126-nucleotide long non-coding RNA is filed under the name Numida meleagris (helmeted guineafowl). RNAcentral describes it as "lncRNA (ENSNMEG00000001700.1)". The record is from RNAcentral. Lineage: Eukaryota; Metazoa; Chordata; Aves; Galliformes; Numididae.
UACUUUGCAAGAAUUUUUUUAUUCAGAGUAGAGCGGGUAGCUAAUAUUAACUACCAAGGCACAUUUGUGCGAUCUGUGAUAAAUGGGGACAGGUGGUUUUUCAGGGCAGUCCUCCUGCAUUUCCAAGAUAAGCCUACUAGUUUUAAUGCAGUUAAUGGCUGCUGCAAAGUUUUAUGGGUAUUGUUUUUUCUUAAACCUCUACAAGAUCAACAUUUGGAGGUCCAAGUUCUCAACCAAAUGCCCUUUUGAUAAGGGAAGGUACAAGCACAGAAGAAUAGAAGUACUUCACCUUCUCACGUAGAUAAUGUUGAAGGAGUAAUGGCAUGCAAUAAAAUAUGAAAGCACAUACGGUCAGAAUACAACAGUUCCAGCUGGGCCAACUAGAAACAUGGAUUUGGGAGAUGCUUGACAGUUUCCUCAGUAUGUCUUGAGAUAGAGUGCUGCUGAAUGAGUAACAGUGAACUUCUGGAAGCUUUGGUUUAUAUUAGCACCCAAACUGAUGUAGUUUCAUUACUCCUCAAAACACUAAGGUAGAUUGGUUAUUACUCCUGUUCAAUCUAGCUCUAACUGAAGCAUGAAAAGAUAAAAGCCUGUGUGACCUCAUUCCUUAGGUACAGUCAUUACCUCAGUACACCUCACAUGGUUUAGCUUUGCAGACUAGAAGAACUUGUUUCUUCUUUCUUUUCCCCCUUUCCUUUUUCUUUACUAGCAUUCUGGUUUCCUUGACUGCUUCUUUCAUCCUGCCACUUACCAGCAGUCACUUAAACAGGAGCCAUGAGUAUUUAGAAGAGAGAAUUGGCUGUUUUAUGGACUGAUGUAUCCAGGCAUGGAAACAGGCACUGCAGUUGCUCAGAAGCUGAGGUGCAGCUGCGGGCUUGGAAGUGAUGCUCUUCCAGGCUCACCUCUCCUCCUACAUGUGCUGCGGCCACUUUCUCAACAGCAGCCAUCUGGGCCAACAGGAGCACUGGCCACUUCUGAGGGACACCAACUGGAUUCCAGUCUGAAGCCUGUCGCUGAUACUGGGGCUCCUAAUUCUGAUAUACUUUGUGGUAUUUAUCACCGUAAAACACUCAGCAAUUUCCUACUCCUCGCUGUAAAACUCCCUACAUCAAUUACAUGUCAGUAA